Long non-coding RNA from Acanthopagrus latus (yellowfin seabream), 299 nucleotides. RefSeq lists it as uncharacterized. Lineage: Eukaryota; Metazoa; Chordata; Actinopteri; Spariformes; Sparidae. The transcript has 3 exons. The record is from RefSeq and is a predicted model, not a curated record.
GUUCGGCAGCUCCACCAGGCAGGACUUUGGCAACGUAGGCCCCAAUGUCUCCAUUAGAGCCGGGCACCUCUUUCCCUCCGACCACACGGAUACCCAGACCAUUUCCUGGUUAGGACCAACAACAAACACUGGUUUGUCAAACCAGUCGGUCUCCUCUCGUCUAAGGUGGUAGGCUUCGGGGAUAAAAACAAGCAGCACCAAUCAGAACCAAUCUGAGAACCUGGACCUUUUUUUGAACCUACCACAUGAAUUGAUUUCUUCAGUUGAGGACUGAAUAAACAAAAUGACCUUGAAGGACA